UACGGAGGGUGCAAGCGUUGUCCGGAUUUAUUGGGUUUAAAGGGUGCGUAGGCGGCCAAGUAAGUCAGGAGUGAAAGUUUGCGGCUCAACCGUAAAAUUGCUUUUGAUACUGCUUAGCUAGAAUCAGGAUGAGGUUAGCGGAAUGUGGCAUGUAGCGGUGAAAUGCAUAGAUAUGCCAUAGAACACCAAUUGCGAAGGCAGCUGGCUAGACCUGUAUUGACGCUGAGGCACGAAAGCGUGGGGAGCGAACAGG
Molecule: ribosomal RNA, 253 nt
Filed under: uncultured bacterium
Lineage: Bacteria
Description: partial 16S ribosomal RNA
Rfam family: Bacterial small subunit ribosomal RNA
Source: RNAcentral